GAUGAACGCUGGCGGCGUGCCUAAUACAUGCCAGUCGAGCGAACGGACGAGAAGCUUGCUUCUCUGAUGUUAGCGGCGGACGGGUGAGUAACACGUGGAUAACCUACCUAUAAGACUGGGACAACUUCGGGAAACCGGAGCUAAUACCGGAUGAUAUUUUGAACCGCAUGGUUCAAAAGUGAAAGACGGUCUUGCUGUCACUUAUAGAUGGAUCCGCGCUGCAUUAGCUAGUUGGUAAGGUAAUGGCUUACCAAGGCAACGAUGCAUAGCCGACCUGAGAGGGUGAUCGGCCACACUGGAACUGAGACACGGUCCAGACUCCUACGGGAGGCAGCAGUAGGGAAUCUUCCGCAAUGGGCGAAAGCCUGACGGAGCAACGCCGCGUGAGUGAUGAAGGUCUUCGGAUCGUAAAACUCUGUUAUUAGGGAAGAACAUAUGUGUAAGUAACUGUGCACAUCUUGACGGUACCUAAUCAGAAAGCCACGGCUAACUACGUG
Molecule: ribosomal RNA, 497 nt
Filed under: uncultured bacterium
Lineage: Bacteria
Description: partial 16S ribosomal RNA
Rfam family: Bacterial small subunit ribosomal RNA
Source: RNAcentral